This 57-nucleotide transfer RNA is filed under the name Ictidomys tridecemlineatus (thirteen-lined ground squirrel). Its description in RNAcentral is "Spermophilus tridecemlineatus (thirteen-lined ground squirrel) tRNA". It matches the Rfam family "tRNA", at positions 8 to 63 of the family's 71-position model. Rfam says of the family: Transfer RNA (tRNA) molecules are approximately 80 nucleotides in length. Their secondary structure includes four short double-helical elements and three loops (D, anti-codon, and T loops). The record is from Rfam by way of RNAcentral. Lineage: Eukaryota; Metazoa; Chordata; Mammalia; Rodentia; Sciuridae.
UGGCUUAGUGGUAGAGCGCUUGCCUAGCAUGUAUGAGGCACUGGGUUCAAUUCUCAG